Molecule: ribosomal RNA, 876 nt
Filed under: uncultured bacterium
Lineage: Bacteria
Description: bacterial SSU rRNA
Rfam family: Bacterial small subunit ribosomal RNA
Source: RNAcentral
GGCUCAGGACGAACGCUGGCGGCGUGCUUAAUGAAUGCGAGUCGAGCGAGAACCAGUUGCGUGCUUGCACAAGACUGGGGACAGCGGCGAACGGGUGAGUAACACGUGGGUAACCUGCCCUGCAGACGGGCAUAACAGCUGGAAACGGCUGCUAAUUCCCGAUGGUCUGCAGCACCUCAAGGUGCUGCAGUAAAGGUUUAUUCCGCUGCAGGAUGGGCCCGCGGGCCAUUAGCUUGUUGGUGGGGUAAAGGCCUACCAAGGCGACGAUGGCUAGCCGGUCUGAGAGGACGAUCGGCCACACUGGGACUGAGACAUGGUCCAGACUCCUCCGGGAGUUAGCAUCAGGGAAUCUUGCGCAAUGGGCGAAAGCCUGACGCAGCGACGCCGCGUGAGGGACGAAGGUCUGCGGAUCGUAAACCUCUGUAAGCAGGGACGAAUGCCCGGUUCUGCCGGGAGUGACGGUACCUGCAGAGUAAGCUCCGGCUAACUACGUGCCAGCAGCCGCGGUAAUACGUAGGGAGUCAGCGUUGUCCGGAUUUACUGGGCGUAAAGAGCGCGUAGGCGGUUUGGUAAGCGGAGGGUGAAAUCCCAGGGCUCAACUCUGGGGCUGCUCUCCGAACUGUCAGACUAGAGUACGGGAGAGGACAGUGGAAUUCCUGGUGUAGCGGUGGAAUGCGUAAAUAUCAGGAGGAACACCCGUGGCGAAGGCUGCUGUCUGGAACGUUACUGACGCUGAGGCGCGAAAGCUAGGGGAGCGAACGGGAUUAGAUACCCCGGUAGUCCUAGCCGUAAACGAUGGACACUAGGUGUUGGAGGCAUCGACCCCUUCAGUGCUGUUCUGCUAACGCGUUAAGUGUCCCGCCUGGGGAGUACGGC